Molecule: unclassified non-coding RNA, 382 nt
Filed under: Hevea brasiliensis (rubber tree)
Lineage: Eukaryota; Viridiplantae; Streptophyta; Magnoliopsida; Malpighiales; Euphorbiaceae
Source: RNAcentral
UCCUGCAGUGAAACAAAGCAUUCAUAACUCAAAAACACUUAAAAUAAUUACAAUAAGAGGAGGGAAAACCAGAAAAGAUAAAGGAAAACACGUAUUUUAAAAAUCAGAGAGGAGAUAUUUAUGAUAGACUUGUCUUUUUUCUUUGGCUUAAUACAUAAAUUUGCCCAUGAACCAAUCAGGACCAUCCUUUUACGCAUAAUCUUUUAUUUCAACUAAUUGCACCUGUAUAUUUUUAUAUUUGUCCUAUUGGACCAUUAAGUUUUUCAAUUUUUUUUAACCAACGGACAGCAUACCACUACAUAGAGCUGUGAACUUGGGAGUUUUAGCAUAAGAUAUUCAAGGUCCUUUUAGAGAUCCAAAAACAUAUAGAUAAGAGUUUCCC